This 193-nucleotide unclassified non-coding RNA is filed under the name fungal sp. RNAcentral describes it as "partial internal transcribed spacer region". The stretch from base 1 to 46 matches the Rfam family "Eukaryotic small subunit ribosomal RNA", at positions 1786 to 1831 of the family's 1831-position model. The record is from RNAcentral. Lineage: Eukaryota; Fungi.
AAGUCGUAACAAGGUUUCCGUAGGUGAACCUGCGGAAGGAUCAUUUCCAAAAAACAAACUGAACAAAAAGAAACGUAAGUGACUUUUUUGAUCAGUAACCUUUCAUACAAACACCAUUUGGUAUUCUUUUAACGUCUAACAUUCUAAAAUUUAAAAACAAAUACAACUUUUAACAACGGAUCUCUUGGCUCUC